RNAcentral lists this long non-coding RNA (1389 nucleotides) under Marmota monax (woodchuck). Lineage: Eukaryota; Metazoa; Chordata; Mammalia; Rodentia; Sciuridae. The record is from RNAcentral.
CCUGGACACGCCCACCCCUCUGGCAAGGACACAGCUGGCUCUUACAGAGCUGGGCGUCACAGCUGGAGGCUCUCCUCCCCAUCUGCGUCAGGCCCCCAGGCCGGUCUGACCUUGUGGGCCACCACUGUUCCCCAGAGUGCCACAGACUGCAGGAGGGGUCUGCUCCCGGGGAAUCAGAUCCCUGCCUUGGGCUCCCAGCUCCAGUUCUGUCCCAUGGGGCAGGACGUGGGUCCCAGCCUCGCCUGCGGCUGGGGUUCAUGGACCUACUGUGUGAGAGACACUGGGAAAGGUCCUGCUGGUUCCCUGGACGGAGGGCACCUCCCACCUCUGCUCUGGUGGGCAGGACUGGGCAGCAUGAGGAGCUGCCUCCUGUGCCCUCUCCCAUCUCCCGGCUCUGUCUCAGCAAGCCGGGGAGCUAGGGUGGUCUCAGGGACCCCUCAGAGGGCACACCAGCUUUCCUGCAGCUCAGGAAGGUGCAUGGCCCCAGCACCGCUCAGCUGCUCGGCUGGUCACCUGCCGCUGAUGAGGCCGCCUCACUGCCUGCUGCGCGUGACCCCGCCUGGCCUCUCUCCCUUCCUGGAGAGGAGCCGCCUCCUGGCCCCAACCAUUGCUUGGUCUUGCCACUGUCGCUGACGACCAUCUCCCCUGUGUCCACCCUAGGAGAGCAAAAGGUUAUCAACAGAAUGGUGAGGAAAUGCUCAGGGUUGGUGCUCCAGCCUGCUGGGUCAGGAGGGGACACGUGUGGCAUGGAGCUGUGGCCUCAGGGCACACCCGAGGCACGGAGCAGUCAGCAGGAAGAGCCAAGAUCUGACCCCACGUGGGCCAGCGGGGGAUGGAGGGGCCCAGAGCAGGCAGGUCCUGGUGACAGCAUGCGCAAGACCCUGGAGCCAAGAGCCCCACAGAGUCACAGAGGAUGGACUUUGUGUGCGAGGAGGGGAGGGGCCCGCUGGAGCUCGGUGUCCUUGUGGUCCAGUCACAUCAGGUGAGAUUCACAAGUGGAAGCCCCAGCCUCCGAGGCCUCAGAACGGGACUCUGCACACAGGUGCUGUAGAGUGAUUAAGGUUACACAAGGUCACUAGGGUGGCCCUGAAUACCACAGGACGGGUGUCCCUAUGUGCAGAGGACAUGACGACAGACAGACAAGGAGGCAUCCACAGGCCAAGGAGAGGCCUGGAAAGAGCCAGCCCUGCCUACCUGGGGACACCAGGACCGUGAAGUCCAGUCUGCAAGUCCCCAGGCUGGGGGGUCUGUUGCUGCAGCAGGAGCUGUGGACAGGAGGCCAAGAGGCAGGAGAGGCGCCCUGGUCCCCUAGGGGGCCAGUUGUGGCCAGGAAUGACACUAAGGAGAGAGACAGUGCCUGGAGGGGCCUGCAGUCUGCUCUGUGAGAGU